Molecule: microRNA precursor, 69 nt
Filed under: Lucilia cuprina (Australian sheep blowfly)
Lineage: Eukaryota; Metazoa; Arthropoda; Insecta; Diptera; Calliphoridae
Description: mir-5 microRNA precursor family
Rfam family: mir-5 microRNA precursor family
Source: Rfam by way of RNAcentral
AUCAAAGGAACGAUCGUUGUGAUAUGAGUUUAAUUCAUUAACAUAUCACAGUGAUUUUCCUUUAUAUUG